CGUCCUUAACUUCCUUAACUUUUCCCAUUCAUUCUCUAUGGUAGUUCUUAUCACUACGGAUGUAAUAUUUCUCCGGCCACAAGCGGGAUUUUGGUUGCGCUGUUGCCCCCCUCGGCAGAAGUAAGGAGAUGAUUUGUUCUCUGAGUGACAGACAGCGGAGCGUCGAAAGGAGACCACAAACACGUUUUCGGAGAUAGAUGACAAUUAUUUUCAUCCGUCGAUAAGUUAACUUUUCAAUUGGGGAUUAGUAUUGUCUCAGUUAAGAGCUGGAAAACUGAGUUUACGUGGGUUAAACCCACUACACUCAUGACAAAUGCUCAGAGUACCUGCUGCAGUUCGGAAAGUACCAGGGAAAAUCUUUCAAGUGGUUCCUAGAGAACGAGGUUGGCUACACCAUGUACCUUAUGAAAAAGGUAGAUGAGGAGGAGAGGGCCGGGACCUUCAACCCACAGGGACACAGUAAGGACAGCCUGCUGUCUUCUCUGGACUAUGCCAGGAGCUUCCAGGAAAUCCAGGACCUGAGGAACUACCUGAUCUCCAGGAACCAGUGGCGUCAGAGGGGGACAAUAUUGUCGGCUUUGGUUGCAGGGCCAAAAAUGGAGUUCCAGCAGUCUGACUUUUUUGAGGCAGAAAGGGGCCGAUGGGUUUCAGAAAAGAGGAGUUGAGGAAGACUAUUAGUCCUCCUCAACUCCUCUUUUCUGAAAUGAAAUGAUUAGUCCUGGACUAAUCAUUUCAUAAUAUUGUAUAUGUUUACAUCUCAUCUCAUCUUCGUCCGCUUAUCCGGGGUCGGGUCGUGGGGGUAGCAGCUCAAGUAUAUGUUUACACUUUUUACUAAAUAUAUUCUGUACAUUUUUAUUGUUCCGUUGCUUACAUAUUAUCUUUAUUUACCUUCAAUGUCAGUUUUGAUUUAAUUAUUCAGCUUGUGUUUAUGUACAAUAAAAUAUGACACUUUCAUUAAAGGGCA
This is a long non-coding RNA of Gadus macrocephalus (Pacific cod), 964 nucleotides long. RefSeq lists it as uncharacterized. Lineage: Eukaryota; Metazoa; Chordata; Actinopteri; Gadiformes; Gadidae. The transcript has 2 exons. The record is from RefSeq and is a predicted model, not a curated record.